RNA transcript from Dipodomys ordii (Ord's kangaroo rat), 438 nucleotides. It is a transcript of the gene named 10 kDa heat shock protein, mitochondrial pseudogene, with no coding region annotated. NCBI's taxonomy places the organism in Eukaryota, Metazoa, Chordata, Mammalia, Rodentia, Heteromyidae. The transcript has a single exon. The record is from RefSeq and is a predicted model, not a curated record.
CGACCGCGGAGAGUCAUGGCCGGACAAGCAUUUAGGAAGUUCAUGCCUCUGUUUGACCGAGUGCUGGUCGAAAGGAGUGCAGCUGAAACUGUGACCAAAGGAGGCAUUAUGCUUCCAGAAAAGUCUCAAGGAAAAGUAUUGCAAGCCACAGUAGUGGCUGUGGGCUCGGGCUCUAAAGGAAAAGGUGAAGAGAUUCAGCCAGUUAGUGUGAAAGUGGGUGAUAAAGUUCUUCUCCCAGAAUAUGGAGGCACCAAAGUAGUUCUAGAUGACAAAGAUUAUUUCUUAUUUAGGGAUGGUGACAUUCUUGGGAAGUAUGUAGAGUGAAUACAUCACUAAAAUGGCAUCCUGUGAAGCUGCCCAUUCCAUGGAAGUUCUGAGAUCUUUCAUCAUGUAAAUAAUUUCCAUAUCUCCCUUUUAUAAUAAACUGAUGGUAACUAA